CACUCCCUGGGGUGUUCGCCAGUCGGUCACGUCCCUCGAGCCGAUAAGCACACCCACGGAGGCUUUUUGGAUUGCUGGUGAGCAUGUCCGUUCAACGGAAAGCCUGAUGCAAGCCAAGGCCGCCACCUUGAACCUUCGGGUUCAGGGCCACGACCGGUAACGGCACUCCGGGGAGCCC
This 178-nucleotide non-coding RNA is filed under the name Oceanospirillaceae bacterium. RNAcentral's name for it is "6S RNA". It matches the Rfam family "6S / SsrS RNA". Rfam says of the family: E. coli 6S RNA was the first non coding RNA to be sequenced, but its function was unknown until recently. It consists of 184 nucleotides that fold into an extended hairpin structure with a large single-stranded internal bulge. The 6S RNA specifically associates with RNA polymerase holoenzyme containing the sigma70 specificity factor. The record is from RNAcentral. Lineage: Bacteria; Pseudomonadati; Pseudomonadota; Gammaproteobacteria; Oceanospirillales; Oceanospirillaceae.